This is a long non-coding RNA of Esox lucius (northern pike), 652 nucleotides long. The record is from Ensembl. Lineage: Eukaryota; Metazoa; Chordata; Actinopteri; Esociformes; Esocidae.
UGUAGGUACAGUCAUGUUUUAUGUAGUAGUGAUGGAAGUGUAGGUACAGUCAUGUUUUAUGUAGUAGUGAUGGAAGUAUAUGUACAGUCAUAUUUUAUGUAGUAGUGAUGGUAGUGUAGGUACAGUCAUGUUUUAUGUAGUAGUGAUGGAAGUGUAGGUACAGUCAUGUUUUAUGUUGUAGUGAUGGAAGUGUAGGUACAGUCAUAUUUUAUGUAGUAGUGAUGGUAGUGUAGGUACAGUCAUGUUUUAUGUAGUAGUGAUGGUAGUGUAGGUACAGUCAUGUUUUAUGUUGUAGUGAUGGAAGUGUAGGUACAGUCAUAUUUUAUGUAGUAGUGAUGGUAGUGUAGGUACAGUCAUGUUUUAUGUUGUAGUGAUGGAAGUGUAGGUACAGUCAUAUUUUAUGUAGUAGUGAUGGUAGUGUAGGUACAGUCAUAUUUUAUGUAGUAGUGAUGGUAGUGUAGGUACAGUCAUGUUUUAUGUAGUAGUGAUGGUAGUGUAGGUACAGUCAUGUUUUAUGUAGUAGUGAUGGAAGUGUAGGUACAGUCAUAUUUUAUGUAGUAGUGAUGGAAGUAUAUGUACAGUCAUGUUUUAUGUAGUAGUGAUGGUAGUGUAGGUACAGUCAUGUUUUAUGUAGUAGUGAUGGAAGUGUAGG